This 589-nucleotide unclassified non-coding RNA is filed under the name Melitaea cinxia (Glanville fritillary). RNAcentral's name for it is "misc RNA ENSMCXG00005016252.1". Lineage: Eukaryota; Metazoa; Arthropoda; Insecta; Lepidoptera; Nymphalidae. The record is from RNAcentral.
UAGUCCUAAAAAUAAUUCAGUGGUGAUAUGUCAAGCUAAUUAAAAAAAUAGGUAGCUUUUAGGUCUAGGGUGGUAAAUAGGUAGACUGAAAUGAACAUUGGUAGAUCUACCAAAAAGUUGGUAGAUAUGAAAUCACUGUCGUGAGCGACUACAUUGCGCCCACUUCGCACACAAAAUAUCGCAAACGAAAAAAACUAACUUCAGUUACAUCGACACGUAAUACAACAUAAGUAGACGAAAAAAAUUAACAAACGCACUAAUCGUCACUACGAUUUUCGAAGGUUCGAGCAACCACCAUAUUCACCAGAUUUGGCUCCAGCCGACUUCUUUCUUUUUCCUAAACUCAAAUUACCACUUCGUGGCACCCGUUUUCAAUCGGUAGAAGACGUAUAGAAGAAUUCGCGGCGAGAACUGAACUUAAUUCCGGAAACAGCAUAAAAAAUGUUUUGAUGAUUGGAUUAUUCGUUGGCGUAAGUGUAUCGUUUCGUAUGUCCAGAGGGUGGGGCCACUAGAUAUCUGUCCGAUAACUGGUUGGAACCGCUACGGGUAAGCGACCCCGGACUGCUCUAGCUGCUAGUGUCACACACCC